This 466-nucleotide ribosomal RNA is filed under the name uncultured bacterium. RNAcentral's name for it is "partial 16S ribosomal RNA". It matches the Rfam family "Bacterial small subunit ribosomal RNA", at positions 28 to 507 of the family's 1533-position model. The record is from RNAcentral.
GAUGAACGCUGGCGGCGUGCUUAACACAUGCAAGUCGAACGAUGAAGCCCAGCUUGCUGGGUGGAUUAGUGGCGAACGGGUGAGUAACACGUGAGUAACCUGCCCUUAACUCUGGGAUAAGCCUGGGAAACUGGGUCUAAUACCGGAUAGGAGCGUCCACCGCAUGGUGGGUGUUGGAAAGAUUUAUCGGUUUUGGGUGGACUCGCGGCCUAUCAGCUUGUUGGUGAGGUAAUGGCUCACCAAGGCGACGACGGGUAGCCGGCCUGAGAGGGUGACCGGCCACACUGGGACUGAGGAACGGCCCAGACUCCUACGGGAGGCAGCAGUGGGGAAUAUUGCACAAUGGGCGCAAGCCUGAUGCAGCGACGCCGCGUGAGGGAUGACGGCCUUCGGGUUGUAAACCUCUUUCAGUAGGGAAGAAGCGAAAGUGACGGUACCUGCAGAAGAAGCACCGGCUAACUACGUG